This 20-nucleotide microRNA is filed under the name Corchorus olitorius. Its description in RNAcentral is "bta-miR-232". The record is from RNAcentral. Lineage: Eukaryota; Viridiplantae; Streptophyta; Magnoliopsida; Malvales; Malvaceae.
GUUUUGUUUUGUUUUUUUUC